This 468-nucleotide ribosomal RNA is filed under the name uncultured bacterium. Its description in RNAcentral is "partial 16S ribosomal RNA". It matches the Rfam family "Bacterial small subunit ribosomal RNA", at positions 28 to 507 of the family's 1533-position model. The record is from RNAcentral.
GACGAACGCUGGCGGCGUGCUUAACACAUGCAAGUCGAACGGAAAGGCCCUGCUUUUGUGGGGUGCUCGAGUGGCGAACGGGUGAGUAACACGUGAGUAACCUGCCCUUGACUUUGGGAUAACUCCAGGAAACUGGGGCUAAUACCGGAUAGGAGCUCCUGCUGCGUGGUGGGGGUUGGAAAGUGUCGGCGGUUGGGGAUGGACUCGCGGCUUAUCAGCUUGUUGGUGGGGUAGUGGCUUACCAAGGCUUUGACGGGUAGCCGGCCUGAGAGGGUGACCGGCCACAUUGGGACUGAGAUACGGCCCAGACUCCUACGGGAGGCAGCAGUGGGGAAUAUUGCACAGUGGGCGGAAGCCUGAUGCAGCAACGCCGCGUGCGGGAUGACGGCCUUCGGGUUGUAAACCGCUUUCGCCUGUGACGAAGCGUGAGUGACGGUAAUGAGUAAAGAAGCACCGGCUAACUACGUG